RNAcentral lists this ribosomal RNA (774 nucleotides) under uncultured Neocallimastigales. RNAcentral's name for it is "partial large subunit ribosomal RNA". It matches the Rfam family "Eukaryotic large subunit ribosomal RNA", at positions 22 to 621 of the family's 3401-position model. Lineage: Eukaryota; Fungi; Neocallimastigomycota; Neocallimastigomycetes; Neocallimastigales. The record is from RNAcentral.
AUAUCAGUCAUGCAUAGCAUAUCAAUAAGCGGAGGAAAAGAAACUAACAAGGAUUCCCUUAGUAACGGCGAGUGAAGCGGGAAGAGCUCAAAUUUGAAAUCUUCAAGGUUUUACCUUGACGAAUUGUAGUUUAAAGAAGUGUUUUCUGUUGAAGUUUUGGUAAAAGUUCUUUGGAAUAGGACAUCAUAGAGGGUGAGAAUCCCGUAUUUGACCAUUACUUUCAGCUUUGUGAUACACUUUCAAAGAGUCGGAUUGUUUGGGAAUGCAGUCCAAAAUGGGUGGUAAAUUUCAUCUAAAGCUAAAUAUUGGCGAGAGACCGAUAGCGAACAAGUACCGUGAGGGAAAGAUGAAAAGAACUUUGAAAAGAGAGUUAAACAGUACGUGAAAUUGUCAAAAGGGAAGCGUUUGACACCAGUGUUGUUUUCUCGAAAAUCAAUUAAAAAGAGUUGGAUUUUGUGUUGUAUUGACUUUAUCAGCUUUCUUCACUCUUUUCCAGCUUUUUUUAAUGCACUUUUCGUUUAACCAGUCAACAUCAGUUUCUUUUGUUGUAAAAAGGUCAUUGGAAGGUGGCUUUCUCUUCGGAGAAAGUGUUUAUAGCCUUUGACUCAUGCAAUCGGAGAGACUGAGGUCUGCAGCGUAGAUCCUUCGGGGUUAGAUACAUUUGUGCUAAGUUAUAGCUUUUCAUAGACAACUUGUUGACUAUGUUUAGUCUUGUAGCUUACUCGCUUAUGCUAUUUUACCUACGCUUAGGAUGUUGAACUCUAUCACACACAG